Cordylochernes scorpioides is the source of this 75-nucleotide non-coding RNA. The record is from the annotation of a GenBank genome assembly. Lineage: Eukaryota; Metazoa; Arthropoda; Arachnida; Pseudoscorpiones; Chernetidae.
GUCCAGGGUAGCCUAGUGGACAUGGCAUCUGCCCGGUAAGCGGAACACUGUGGGUUCGAUUCCCAUCCCUUGACA